GAUGAACGCUGGCGGCGUGCCUAAUACAUGCAAGUCGAGCGAACGGACGAGAAGCUUGCUUCUCUGAUGUUAGCGGCGGACGGGUGAGUAACACGUGGAUAACCUACCUAUAAGACUGGGAUAACUUCGGGAAACCGGAUCUACUACCGGAUAAUAUUUUGAACCGCAUGGUUCAAAAGUGAAAGACGGUCUUGCUGUCACUUAUAGCUGGAUCCGCGCUGCAUUAGCUAGUUGGUAAGGUAACGGCUUACCAAGGCAACGAUGCAUAGCCGACCUGAGAGGGUGAUCGGCCACACUGGAACUGAGACACGGUCCAGACUCCUACGGGAGGCAGCAGUAGGGAAUCUUCCGCAAUGGGCGAAAGCCUGACGGAGCAACGCCGCGUGAGUGAUGAAGGUCUUCGGAUCGUAAAACUCUGUUAUUAGGGAAGAACAUAUGUGUAAGUAACUGUGCACAUCUUGACGGUACCUAAUCAGAAAGCCACGGCUAACUACGUG
Molecule: ribosomal RNA, 497 nt
Filed under: uncultured bacterium
Lineage: Bacteria
Description: partial 16S ribosomal RNA
Rfam family: Bacterial small subunit ribosomal RNA
Source: RNAcentral